This 249-nucleotide ribosomal RNA is filed under the name uncultured beta proteobacterium. RNAcentral describes it as "partial 16S ribosomal RNA". It matches the Rfam family "Bacterial small subunit ribosomal RNA", at positions 796 to 1041 of the family's 1533-position model. Lineage: Bacteria; Pseudomonadati; Pseudomonadota; Betaproteobacteria. The record is from RNAcentral.
CACGCCCUAAACGAUGUCAACUGGUUGUUGGGGGAGUGAAAUCCCUUAGUAACGAAGCUAACGCGUGAAGUUGACCGCCUGGGGAGUACGGUCGCAAGAUUAAAACUCAAAGGAAUUGACGGGGACCCGCACAAGCGGUGGAUGAUGUGGAUUAAUUCGAUGCAACGCGAAAAACCUUACCUACCCUUGACAUGUCCGGAAUCCUGCUGAGAGGUGGGAGUGCCCGAAAGGGAAUCGGAACACAGGUGC